Molecule: long non-coding RNA, 727 nt
Filed under: Equus asinus (donkey)
Lineage: Eukaryota; Metazoa; Chordata; Mammalia; Perissodactyla; Equidae
Description: lncRNA (ENSEASG00005038529.1)
Source: RNAcentral
GAAUGAAGAAGGAAGUGUGGUCACAGAUAACUUGGAGGCUUCUGACGUGGGUCCUGAAUGGAAAGUGAUGUUAUAGAUUGCAAUAGAGAACAGAGAAGGAGUAGCUGGGAGGGAAAACUAUGAGUUUUGUUUUGCAUAUCCUCAGAUCUGAAGUCCAACAGGGCAUCCAAGAGUAAAGGUGGAGAUGAAAUAUAGGUCUGAGGUCAGGAGAGAUUCAGCUGGAGCUGUGACUGGAGAGUGUUGUUGAAGCCUGGAGCCUGAAGGCCAUCUCCCAGCAUGGAGAGGAGACGAAAGAGGGCUGAGGACCGAACCCUGGGAACGCCGUCCCCCAGCCGUCUGUCGGUGAACUCUGAGGCAGGAAUCAGGUCCACCACCCAAGGACACAGAACAGGCCCCAAGGCCUCAGAUUUCCCACUUCUAGAAGAGAUGGAACCCCUGCUGUUGCUGGAGAGUGAGCCUCAGAAGUGUAAUUGCCUGCCUUUCCUCUACUUCCCUGCUGGCAGAGGUGCUUUUGAUGGACAAAGUGCUUCAGACGCAGUAGGAAAAGAACAAGGGCUGUCCAGAAGAAUGUCAGUCUGAGAUAAAUCGCAUGUCAGGAAGAGAAAAUCCACUGUGUUAAGAACCAUGAAAUCUGUAGGCCCAGACAAAUUAUGUCCUAGGAUGUGGGUUGCAAACUUUUUAGUAGUAUAACUUUUUCAGACAAAUUUUAUAUGAACCCUAAUUUUAA